AUGUUGCUCAGAAAAAACAGCGUAGAGUAGUGACCUCUUCUCACAACCGUCUAUCCAUCUUCUUAGUUUAGUUUUCCUGUUGUAUGUCUAGCUAUCUGUCGCAUUAU
Long non-coding RNA from Cucurbita maxima (winter squash), 107 nucleotides. RefSeq lists it as uncharacterized. The transcript is spliced from 3 exons. The record is from RefSeq and is a predicted model, not a curated record. NCBI's taxonomy places the organism in Eukaryota, Viridiplantae, Streptophyta, Magnoliopsida, Cucurbitales, Cucurbitaceae.